ACGUCAAAUCAUCAUGCCCCUUAUGUCCUGGGCUACACACGUGCUACAAUGGCCGGUACAACAAGAAGCGAUACCGCGAGGUGGAGCAAAUCUCCAAAACCGGCCCCAGUUCGGAUUGUAGGCUGCAACUCGCCUACAUGAAGCCGGAGUUGCUAGUAAUCGCAGAUCAGAAUGCUGCGGUGAAUGCGUUCCCGGGUCUU
This 200-nucleotide ribosomal RNA is filed under the name uncultured prokaryote. RNAcentral describes it as "partial 16S ribosomal RNA". It matches the Rfam family "Bacterial small subunit ribosomal RNA", at positions 1182 to 1382 of the family's 1533-position model. The record is from RNAcentral.